This 68-nucleotide transfer RNA is filed under the name Hapsodrilus ignifer. Its description in RNAcentral is "tRNA-Trp". Lineage: Eukaryota; Metazoa; Arthropoda; Insecta; Coleoptera; Elateridae. The record is from RNAcentral.
AAGGAUUUAAGUUAAACAAACUAGCAACCUUCAAAGUUGCCAUUAAAGGCUUACCCCUUUAAGCCUUA